This 490-nucleotide ribosomal RNA is filed under the name uncultured bacterium. RNAcentral describes it as "partial 16S ribosomal RNA". It matches the Rfam family "Bacterial small subunit ribosomal RNA", at positions 30 to 507 of the family's 1533-position model. The record is from RNAcentral.
AUUGAACGCUGGCGGCAGGCCUAACACAUGCAAGUCGAACGGUAACAGGAAGCAGCUUGCUGCUUCGCUGACGAGUGGCGGACGGGUGAGUAAUGUCUGGGAAACUGCCUGAUGGAGGGGGAUAACUACUGGAAACGGUAGCUAAUACCGCAUAACGUCGCAAGACCAAAGAGGGGGACCUUAGGGCCUCUUGCCAUCGGAUGUGCCCAGAUGGGAUUAGCUAGUAGGUGGGGUAACGGCUCACCUAGGCGACGAUCCCUAGCUGGUCUGAGAGGAUGACCAGCCACCCUGGAACUGAGACACGGUCCAGACUCCUACGGGAGGCAGCAGUGGGGAAUAUUGCACAAUGGGCGCAAGCCUGAUGCAGCCAUGCCGCGUGUAUGAAGAAGGCCUUCGGGUUGUAAAGUACUUUCAGCGGGGAGGAAGGGAGUAAAGUUAAUACCUUUGCUCAUUGACGUUACCCGCAGAAGAAGCACCGGCUAACUCCGUG